CAAUAGCGUAUAUUAAAGUUGUUGCGGUUAAAAAGCUCGUAGUUGGAUUUCUGCUGAGAACGACCGGUCCGCCCUUUGGGUGUGUAUCUGGCUCUUUCUUGGCAUCUUCUUGGUGAACGUUGCUGCACUUGACUGUGUGGAGCGCUACCCAGGACUUUUACUUUGAGGAAAUUAGAGUGUUUCAAGCAGGCAUACGCCUUGAAUACAUUAGCAUGGAAUAAUAAGAUAGGACCUCGGUUCUAUUUUGUUGGUUUCUAGAGCUGAGGUAAUGAUUAAUAGGGAUAGUUGGGGGCAUUCGUAUUUAACUGUCAGAGGUGAAAUUCUUGGAUUUGUUAAAGACGGACUACUGCGAAANCANNNGCCAAGGACGUUUUCAUNGA
RNAcentral lists this ribosomal RNA (380 nucleotides) under uncultured eukaryote. RNAcentral's name for it is "partial 18S ribosomal RNA". It matches the Rfam family "Eukaryotic small subunit ribosomal RNA", at positions 592 to 976 of the family's 1831-position model. The record is from RNAcentral.